AAAUGCGCUCCUCGGGAAAACCUGUGCCAAGAAAACUCCUUCUCCUGGCUCUUUUGCAGCAAGCAACCUCCGAUAGGGAUCGCCGAGAAUAAAGUCACUUCAUUUACAAACCGGGGAGCCGGAUCUGAUAGACAUCAACAUUCGAGGGGGGAAAGGAAAGGAACGGAGGAGACGGAUUUCUUUGUGAAGCCGAGAUGCUUCGGGGAGCGGAGGCUGAGAUGCAAUUUUGGGGGCGGGAGAGUUUCCACGUGCCCCAGCAGCCAAGUUGCCUUUUCCCCACCUCCCACUGCAAGAUGAGCACCCCGGGGUCGAACACAGGAGCAAAUCACAAAGCACCAUGAGUCAUUUUCCAAUGUAACAAAAAAUCCCCAUCUUCUCCACUCCUGGGGGGAAGCCAGAAUGUCUCGGAACCAGAGGAGCAGCCCCAGGGGCACCUUCUCCUCACCCUGCAACCAAGAAGUGCCGCCCAGCAGCAAAAUUCCAUUAUUUAGCCACUUUGGAGAGGCAAAGACACUUUUAAUAUACAAUUGCACCUUGGAAACAUAAAGGCAGCACAUUAAAUAACAAAGCAAUUGACUGCUGGGUCCCUUUGCUGGGCCACCGAAAGCUGGGGCUCACUGGCUAAUUAUUGCUGGGGUCCCUGUGCCUCUCCAAACAUACCGAUGCUUUCAGAAACCCACUCCAGCUGUGCCUGACAUUUCACUCCUAUUAAAAUUCAUCGUUCUCCUGAA
Pipra filicauda (Wire-tailed manakin) is the source of this 731-nucleotide long non-coding RNA. RefSeq lists it as uncharacterized. The transcript is spliced from 2 exons. NCBI's taxonomy places the organism in Eukaryota, Metazoa, Chordata, Aves, Passeriformes, Pipridae. The record is from RefSeq and is a predicted model, not a curated record.